AUGAGACUGUAUUUAGUUUCCGUAUAAAAGAAGAGCACAUCGAUGAAUGCAGAGCGAACCUCUGCUGACUAUAAAACAAGGAUUCUCUCUUUGGAUCUUUACUGCGUGACUUUGGUCAUCUACAUCUCUCUCCGUCUCACAGAUACGAAUGGAGUGUAAAAAGACAAUAAAGGAAACAAAAACUACAGGAGCAUCAGAAAGUGCAGAUGAGCAAAAAACGAGGACAGAGAGAGGUGGAGGUAGGAAUAAGACACAAACCUGUGAAUCACAAGAGAAAAGCAGACAGAUAUCAGCUAGAUGUGAGAGUAUGGAGGCGCUAAAGCCGUACUUGUAAUGUGAUCCGGAGCAUAUGUUUCUGAUGUCACAAGAUUCUCCCAUCGAACCCUUCAUCACUGAAGUCCAUCAUCAUCAUCAUCAUCAUCAUCAGACUUCUGAUCAGCUGCUGUCUUCUGGAAGCUUUUACACUCGUCUGAGCACAAAAACAUUUCAAGAGCUUCUUUCCCAGAGAAUCUGCUGAUGCAGCACUUUACUCUCAAUCAUAUGCAUCAGAUUUUUUUGUUUAACAAAAUUUUUCAAUUUACACUGCCUCAUAUUUUAUGCAUUUUCAUUUACAAUGCAUGUUUUUGUAUUCCUGAGAUUUAAUUCUGAUUGGAAUACAAAAACAUGCAUAGUAAAUGAAAAUGCAUGCAUUAUUAAGCAGUGGCUUAUAUGAUAUGAUAUUUAUAUGAUAUAUAUGACACAAUAUGAUAUUGUGAAUUAAUUCAUAGAUUCUAUGCACCUGAUUUCAAUCAGAAUGACCAUUUGUGAAUUUAAUGCAUCUGGCUUCCACUCUAAUGCACUUCCAGUUAUUUUUAGCUGUUCAAAACAGCUGUUUAAAAUCGCAAAACCUGGGUUUUAUCAUGGUAUUUUAAUGAUUCGUCAUUAUAGAUACACUGGCCUGUAGUGCAAUUUGUUAUACAAUUUCUGACAUUCAAAUCUUCUAGUAUUUUCAUAUUGCAGCUGUUGAAUCUGAAGUCUCUCACGUUCAGAAAAAAACAUUUUGCUAAUUUAUUUUGCAUCCUUCCAUAUACCAUUUGUUGUAUAUGUAUUUAUUAAUUUUUCACCCUAUUCUUAAUAGACUGUAAUGAUUCAGUAUUCUGAUGCAGUGCAACUGACUCCAAGCUAUUUGUGCACUAUAGUGUCCUCCGUUCUCAAACUGCUCGUCACAUGUAGGUUUAUAUCGAUGCUGGAGUCAGAAACAGCAUCUCACAGCUGGACAUGACCCUGGACAGAUGGCCGGUCCAUCACAUUUCUCACUCAAACACAAACACACACAAACACACACACACACAUACACAGAUAUGUGUAAUGUCUCAAGUUACUGUGACUUUGAGCUUCAUGAGCUCAGAAUAUUUCUAGGUGUUUCGAGUGAUGAGCAGGAAAUCUCUACUGGAUUCAUUUAAUAAAGUCACAAGAGUUUGUGAGAAAUCACUAAACGCAGACAGAAUGUUUGAGACAUGACUGAAGUCGAUCUACUGACUGGAAUCCAUCACUUCUGCUAUUUUCAUCUGUUCUGCAGCUUUCAAUGCUUUGAGAAGAAUCCAGGGCCACGAUUCACAAAACAUCUGAAGGCUAAAAGUAGCUCACCAAUUUAGGAGAAAAUCUUAAAAUAAUGGUUAUGUCGUGUCUAAAUUGUCGUGUCUAACAACGUCCCUCAGCUGUAUAAAUUUACUGUAAACCACGGCUUCUUGGGGAUUAUUGCUUUAACAAGCGAUGUUGAAAUGUGAAAAUAAAAUGCUCUUCUGAUCUGUUUCUGUCAGCGAAUCACUUGAACUGAAUGAUCGAAGUCUCCAGUUUGAUUCAGUCGAAGCGGUUCAAGUGUAAAUGACUCACUCAAUUGAAUCAGUUUCCUCAAAAA
Molecule: long non-coding RNA, 1897 nt
Organism: Carassius auratus (goldfish)
Lineage: Eukaryota; Metazoa; Chordata; Actinopteri; Cypriniformes; Cyprinidae
Exons: 3
Source: RefSeq, a predicted model, not a curated record